AACGAACGCUGGCGGCAUGCCUAACACAUGCAAGUCGAACGAGACCUUCGGGUCUAGUGGCGCACGGGUGCGUAACGCGUGGGAACCUGCCCUUAGGUUCGGAAUAACUCCCCGAAAGGGGUGCUAAUACCGGAUAAUGUCUUCGGACCAAAGAUUUAUCGCCUUUGGAUGGGCCCGCGUUGGAUUAGCUAGUUGGUAGGGUAAAAGCCUACCAAGGCGACGAUCCUGAGCUGGUCUGAGAGGAUGAUCAGCCACACUGGGAAUGCGACACGGUCUAGACUCGGACGGGAGGGAGGAGUGUGUAGUACAGGAGGCGGAAGGAUGGCGUGAUCAAGCAAUGCGGCGUGAGUGAUGAAGGCCUUAGUGUUGUAAAGUUCUUUUAGACGAGAUGAGAAUGACAGUACCGGGAGAAUAAGCACCGGCUAACUACGUG
Molecule: ribosomal RNA, 433 nt
Filed under: uncultured bacterium
Lineage: Bacteria
Description: partial 16S ribosomal RNA
Rfam family: Bacterial small subunit ribosomal RNA
Source: RNAcentral